ACUAUGUCUCUCGGCUGGCCUGGGAACGCCUUGGUAUUCCCCCGGAAGAGCUGGAGGAAGUGUCUGGGGAGAGGGAAGUCUGGGCGUCCCUGCUUGGACUGCUGCCCCCGCGAUAAGCGGUCCAUUCUCAUUUUCCCAUUGGUCCGCUGAACUGUCAAUCUCCCGGCUUUAAAAGUGAUGUCAUGGGUCUCUGCGCCAAUCACCAUCAUCCCAUACUUUUACGAAAGGACGCCAGAGAGCUGCGAGUUAGUCUUAUCGGCUCAUUCAUCCUUAUUGUUACCCUUUGUUUAAAAACCUGAUUUUUGUGAGUUUAUCAUUGUGUACUGUUUGUCGUAUCCGUUCUUUUUGUUCUGUCAUCAUUUGUAAAUGUUGUUGGUGACUCGUUUCCCUGUUAAAGGGGGAAAAGCGGACAGGUAAGAGGUCGCGCGACAUACAUUGUACAGACGUAGGAUAACUUAUUACUGUAUUAGAUACACUAGUUUAGGAGUGAGUGCCACCCCUUUUACUUUUUGUGUUUUGGCUAGUUAGAGUAGUUUAGGUAGGGCGUUUUUACGCUGAAGACCUUUUGUUCCACAUUUUUAUUUAUUAGUCAGGUAAGAGGGUCAAACAAAAUUAGUUAGUUUUGUUUUAUUUCCUUUAGCACCACAAUCGUCCCUUUUCCCCCCGUACCUCUCCUUUCGUUAAUUGUCCUGUAAAUACUGUAAAUAGUCUCUCCUUUGUUGUCCUUCAAUACUUUGAUUAAUAAACUUUCAUAUGGUUU
This is a long non-coding RNA of Tachysurus vachellii, 760 nucleotides long. RefSeq lists it as uncharacterized. The transcript is spliced from 2 exons. Lineage: Eukaryota; Metazoa; Chordata; Actinopteri; Siluriformes; Bagridae. The record is from RefSeq and is a predicted model, not a curated record.